GAUGAAGAACGUAGCGAAAUGCGAUACGUAAUGUGAAUUGCAGAAUUCAGUGAAUCAUCGAGUCUUUGAACGCACAUUGCGCCCCCUGGUAUUCCGGGGGGGAUGCCUGUCCGAGCGUCAUUGCUGCCCUCAAGCACGGCUUGUGUGUUGGGCCUCCGUCCUCCUCCCGGGGGACGGGCCCGAAAGGCAGCGGCGGCACCGCGUCCGGUCCUCGAGCGUAUGGGGCUUCGUCACCCGCUCUUGUAGGCCCGGCCGGCGCUUGCCGACACAUCAAUCUUUUUUCCAGGUUGACCUCGGAUCAGGUAGGGAUACCCGCUGAACUUAAGCAUAUCAAUAAGCGGAGGA
This 345-nucleotide unclassified non-coding RNA is filed under the name soil metagenome. RNAcentral describes it as "partial contains 5.8S ribosomal RNA, internal transcribed spacer 2, and large subunit ribosomal RNA". The stretch from base 1 to 120 matches the Rfam family "5.8S ribosomal RNA", at positions 35 to 154 of the family's 154-position model. The record is from RNAcentral.